Long non-coding RNA from Pundamilia nyererei, 420 nucleotides. RefSeq lists it as uncharacterized. Lineage: Eukaryota; Metazoa; Chordata; Actinopteri; Cichliformes; Cichlidae. The record is from RefSeq and is a predicted model, not a curated record. The transcript has 3 exons.
GAAAUUGCAGUGCCUUAAGCCAUUGCUGUGGGGUGUCUGUCAAAGGAAGGAAUGAAACUUGUGUAUGUUUAAACUCUUCUCUUGGCAACAAAACAAUAUCUGGUGGAAAAUGACUUCAUGGAGGACAACAAGACGCUCGUCUAAUGGGAAUGGGCGGUCUUCCAAUGGGGAAGAUGUCAAUGGAAGCGGCCGCCUUGGUGGCUGCAGCUACCUCUCUAAUGUGAGGCCAGAAAACAGGUACAGAAUCCAGACUAACUCAGGGUGCUGUCCUUCCACUUGAACCAUCUCUGCUGGGAACAUGCAGAGCACACUCUGCAGUGUGAUUGCUCAUUUAACUGAAGAAACACAGCCGUCCUUUGAAGCUACCCUGAAGUCAAAAGCUGUGUCCGAAAAUUCAAACGUGAAGUUUUCCUGUGUGGU